CCUACGGGUGGCAGCAGUGAGGAAUAUUGGUCAAUGGGCGCGAGCCUGAACCAGCCAAGUCGCGUGAGGGAAGACGGCCCUACGGGUUGUAAACCUCUUUUGCCGGGGAGCAACGGGCGCCACGUGUGGCGCCCCUGAGAGUACCCGUAGAAAAAGCAUCGGCAAACUCCGGGCCAGCAGCCGCGGUAAUACGGGGGAUGCGAGCGUUAUCCGGUUUUAUUGGGUUUAAAGGGUGCGUAGGCGGAGCGUUAAGUCAGCGGUAAAAUGUCCGGGCUCAACCCGGGCCGGCCGUUGAAACUGGGGGUCUUGAGUGGGCGAGAGGUAGGCGGAAUGCGUGGUGUAGCGGUGAAAUGCAUAGAUAUCACGCAGAACUCCGAUUGCGAAGGCAGCAUACCGGAGCCCGACUGACGCUGAGGCACGAAAGCGUGGGGAUCGAACAGGAUUAGAUACCCCUGUAGUC
This 460-nucleotide ribosomal RNA is filed under the name uncultured bacterium. RNAcentral's name for it is "partial 16S ribosomal RNA". It matches the Rfam family "Bacterial small subunit ribosomal RNA", at positions 338 to 795 of the family's 1533-position model. The record is from RNAcentral.